GAUGAACGCUGGCGGCGUGCCUAAUACAUGCAAGUCGAGCGAACAGACGAGGAGCUUGCUCCUCUGACGUUAGCGGCGGACGGGUGAGUAACACGUGGAUAACCUACCUAUAAGACUGGGAUAACUUCGGGAAACCGGAGCUAAUACCGGAUAAUAUAUUGAACCGCAUGGUUCAAUAGUGAAAGACGGUUUUGCUGUCACUUAUAGAUGGAUCCGCGCCGCAUUAGCUAGUUGGUAAGGUAACGGCUUACCAAGGCGACGAUGCGUAGCCGACCUGAGAAGGUGAUCGGCCACACUGGAACUGAGACACGGUCCAGACUCCUACGGGAGGCAGCAGUAGGGAAUCUUCCGCAAUGGGCGAAAGCCUGACGGAGCAACGCCGCGUGAGUGAUGAAGGUCUCCGGAUCGUAAAACUCUGUUAUUAGGGAAGAACAAAUGUGUAAGUAACUAUGCACGUCUUGACGGUACCUAAUCAGAAAGCCACGGCUAACUACGUG
Molecule: ribosomal RNA, 497 nt
Filed under: uncultured bacterium
Lineage: Bacteria
Description: partial 16S ribosomal RNA
Rfam family: Bacterial small subunit ribosomal RNA
Source: RNAcentral